Molecule: unclassified non-coding RNA, 2583 nt
Filed under: Leishmania donovani
Lineage: Eukaryota; Euglenozoa; Kinetoplastea; Trypanosomatida; Trypanosomatidae
Description: gene:LdHU3.35.0920(CDS-product:AMP-activated_prot ein_kinase_gamma_regulatory_subunit)
Source: RNAcentral
UUUGUCCGCGCGCACUUUUCUGUUUUCUUUCCACAUUUUUUUUCGGAGCUCCGCGAGGCGUACGUCUCGGACGCCUCCUCCUAACUGCGUGUCCUCUCGUUGCGAUUGUACACUUGCAUUGCUGGCUCUCUGUUGCCCUCUUUCCACCCCCCAACCCCCCCCUGUCGGAGCAACAGCACGCUGCUGGUCACCUUCGUUUUGUUCUGUCUUUAGGGGGUUUAUGUGUUUGUGUGCGCCCCGGAACGCCAUCUCCCCUCCUCCUCCCUUUUUUCGCGCCUUUAUUCCGUCUCCUCCCAUACGCCCACGUCUCGCGAAUCCCUCUCUCUCACGCUGUUUUCUAUCAUUUCUUGUUUUUUUUCUUUUCGCUCACCCUUCUCCGUUCAACUAGAACUCGUGCCCCCCCCCCUCUUACCUACCCACGCGUAAUUAUGUCUGCGUCUGAGGUUCAGCACUCCUACUACCCCGCGAGUGCGGCGCACACGAGCUAUCAAGCCGGCUCCUAUCUCCUGGAGGCCGGAUACAGACCCACAGAUGAGGAGUGUGCCACCCUCGCGGCACCGAUUGCCAGCUUCCUGCGCAACUGCAGCUGCUACGACAUGCUCGGUGUGUCAACGCAGGUGGUGGUCCUCGACGUGCAGGCGCCGCUGUCGGUCGCCUUCAUCGCCGCCCAGGAAACGCGCAUCAAGAGCUGCGUCCUAUGGGACCCGCGCAAGCGGCAGUACGUCGGCGUGCUCACCUCCACCGACUACAUUUGCAUUCUCCUGUACUGUCAGGCACACCCGAAAGAGGCAGACGCGGUGGCUCUGUGGACGAUCGAGCACUGGCAGGAGGUGAGGGCGGCGCAGGGGCUCGGGCGGCCGAAGGAGAAGCUGGGUGCGCCGCCAGGGCCAAAGAGCGGUAUCAUCACAUGCAAGACAGACACUUCGCUGCACGACUGCCUGCAGAUGAUGCGGGAGCACUGCGUCCGCCGCAUCAUCGCCCUAGCGGAGAAAGAGGGCGAAGACUUCAGCCUCGUUGCCAUGAUGGACGUGGAGCAAAUUGUCGAGUACCUUGGCGUGAUGUUCUUUCAUAUUGAGAAGGCCGGUGGUUCGAUCGGCCGGGCCGGCGGCGGCGCGAACAGCAGCACGGGCGACGCAGCAGGUGACGGCGCUGGUGGUGUUGGUGCCCCUCACCGCACGAACUUGACAAUAUCCACAGCGAAAAACACGACCAGCGUCGCCGGCGACAGCGACUUAUCCUCACCGCAGCACAACAACAGUCACCAGCUCAGGUCAAACGAUUUCGAAGAGUACGAUGACGACCCGCAAGGCGUCUUUGCUCUUGGCGAAGCCUAUGUGCUGCCCCCUUACGUCGCGUCUAUCAUCACCCAAGCAGAGGCCGCCGGGGCGAGCGGGUCUGGUGGCGUCGGCAUCGCUUCUGACGUGCGUGUCGGCCCUUACAGCUCUAUCUUCGAUGUCCCGUUCAUGUAUGUGCCACAAGUCGGUGCGCACCGCCGGAAGCCCAUCUUUGCAACGAUGGAGCAGAAGCUGAGCGAGGCGCUGACGCUCAUGCUAGACCACAACACGGAGAGCAUCGCCGUUUGCUCUCCGAAGGAAGGUGUCAUCAUCGACGUUGUCAGUCGCAGCGACUUGCUGCGGAUGGAAAAUCAGGGCGUGUAUGACACGCAGCUGACGGUGCGGGAGGCGCUGGCGAGCAAGAUUAGCGACCACAUCUUUGUCUUCUACGAGAAGGAUACGCUGCGGGAAAUCUUCUCCCACUUUGUGCGGCGCCGCGUCAAGGAGCUCUUCAUGGUGGACCCGGACACAGGGCGGCUGCUGGGGCAGCUGAACGUGGCAGAGUUCGUGUACUUUCUGGUCUUCGGUGUCAGCGAUUAGGCGUUACCUGUUCGUCUUCCCUCCCUCACAACGGCCCAAAAUGCAUCAAGCGGCUGUGAUGCUGUCCAUGCUGGCUGCAGAAGAAGAGAGAGGGGGGAGGAGCCAGUUAUAGGAUUGCCGCCGGCGUGCUUUGGCGAUGUAAGACAAGCGUGUGGUUGCCUAGCCAUGGUGCUGGUGUAUUGGCGCAUGCUCAUAUGUGUGGCGAGGGUGUGAAGGGCUGCUGCUGCUGUUGCUGUUGCUUUACGCUACUCGCCUCAGCGCCGCCGUUAUUACGAGCAUUGCUUGACGAUUUCGAUUUUUGUAUCUUCGCUGUUGUUCUUCUCGUUCGGUGUGCAUUUGUUAUAUCCGGUGCCGUGGUUGCCGCGCUGUAUCGGAGUGGGACAAGGGAGGGGGAGAGUAGAAGCAAGGAGAGGGAGAGCGGAAGGGAGUGGCGCAGGUGCCCAACAAAUGGAUGAUACAGCGAUGGUACCCCCCUUCCACAUCCACUCUCUGUGUCUGUCUGUCUGUGUGUGUGUGUGUGUGUUCUCCCCCGCCCCCUCUCUCUCUUAUCUUGUUCUCUGCACACAUGCUUUACUUCUGUUUCCGUGAUCAAUGCGUUUUCUCUUCGUUGUUCUUAUUCUGUGUGUGUGUGUGUGUUUGUGUGUAUGUGCAUGUGGAUGUGUGCCACGUGCGCACCCCAAUUGCCUCAAGGAAGUGGCACGCGUCUGAG